AGAUAUCCUUGUACUAAAAUUAUUUUGCUGGGCCAAACUGUCAAGUGCAACAAUACUUGUUUGGUAUAAAAACAAAUGUCUGGAACGGGAAAGAGGACAAAGUGAUAUUAGAAGGCUCUGAGAGACAGGCAUUCCUAAAAUUGCUAACAAGAUUAAAAAUUAUAAUAAGCAAUAAAACAUUUUUAUAAACAACAAAGUUUUGUGAUUAUAUACAACACAGAUGAAAGCUAUAAUCUAAUAUUUCAAAUAACAGUAAUUAAGAAUAUUUAGAAAACCAAUAGAAGCUUUUAAAGAACAGUAUAUUGCUGAUUUGGGAAGAGAUAGGAAUGAUUAGACAAUAGAAAAAUAGAAAAUAGUGCUAACAGAUCUCAGAAAAGCAAAUAAGAAGCAAAAUAAGAAGAAAAACAAAAAAAUAACUUUAGAAAAAAUACAAGAAACAAGCCAAUAGACAUAUCAUCACAAAGAAAAUAGAAGAUGAAAAUGAAGAAAAUAGGGAAAAAUAAAGAGAUUAGAUGAUACAAUACAAAGUGAUAGAUUUAAAAACUAGUCAAAGAAGAUUCCACUUAUGUAUAAGAAGACACAGAACACUUGAUUGCCCCCAAAAUAAACCCCAUACCUAUUUUUUUGUUUUUAAGGUGGAGUCUCACCCUGCUGCCCAGGCUGAAGUGCGAUGGUGUGAUCUCGGCUCACUGCAACCUCUGCUUCUGGGGUUCAAAUGAUUCUCCUGCCUCAGCCUCCUGAGUAGGUGGGAUUAGAGGUGCUCGCCACCAUGCCCAGCUAAUUUUUGUCUUUUUAGUAGAGACGAGGUUUCACCAUGUUGGCCAGGCUAGUCUCAAAUUCCUGACCUCGUGAUCUGCCUGCCUUGGCCUCCCAAAGUGCUGGGAUUACAGGCGUGAGCCACCACGUCCAGCCAAAACCCCAUACCUAUUAACAGUCAUGCCUCACAUCUCACAUACCUCUAGAGGUUCCUGUAAACCACGAAUCUACUUUUUCUAUUCUGAACAUUUUAUGCUAAAGUCCCAGGGAGAAAAGACUUUGGCUUGGGGCCCUUCAUGGUGAACGAGGAGAUGGGUCCACUGAAGAGAAAAAAAAAAGGAAUGGAAGCUGACCUACAGGGAACAAGAAAGUGGGGCCAGCCACAUCCUCCAGCCACCAGUUGGGGGGUGUGGGGGGAGGGGGUUGGACAAGAUGACCUCUGAGGUUUCUGUCUCACUCAGUCUGGCUGACAGCUGAGUGACAGGCUUGCUCAGAAAGGACAUCCAGAUGUCAGUUUCUGAUGCAUCCAGGAUACUGGAGUUCAAACAUUUUCACCCUUCUACUUCCUUGGCUCCAAGCUUUAUACUGAGAGCUGGUUCUCAGGCUGUGAAAGGGGUAGGGUUUGCGGUGGGCAGACUGCUGACCUCUGCCUCCCGAUUUCAGGUUGCUCUGCCACUCAGUGUUGGCCUUGGACUGUCCUGAGCAGGUUGCUGUUCCCCUACCCUGCCAUGUACAUAGAAGGCAAGUGUGAGACCUUCAUUUUCUCACUAGAAAAUACUGAAUAAAGUUUUCUGAGGGCCCCCUUCCCUAUUUCACAUGCUAAGCUGGAGGGCAAAAAUUGAACAUGGAAGUGGUAGAAAUAGGUAGUUCCCAGUGGAACACCAAAUACAGCCAGGCUGAAGGGCCCAAGCAAAGCAGAGGAACAGACAGCACUGGAUUCCCCUCAUUCAUCCCUGUUCUCUGCUGACUCUUCCCAAGUUGGGGUCCCAUCAGCUACCCAUGAGCAUGCCAAAAACAAGCACACAGUUAAUAGUUUGCAGCAUAGACAAGCAAGGUUCUGAGAGAAACACCACCUCCCUGGCAACUGUACACUCUGCUCUCCUGAGACUGGAGAGCAAAGCUGAUUACAAUCAAAGGGAAAAAGACAGAAAAUAUCCUGCCUCCAGGAGUCAGGCUAUCCUCCAGUUUUCUUGGCAGCACCAUUGUCCCUUGCUGACCACUGACUCCCUGCCAGGAGGGGUGGGAGAGAGACUAGGAGACUCACCUUGGGACAAAGGGCUGGUCCAGCCUUUUCAGCUCCUGGGGAACUUUGUCCCAGCCAAUGCUUUCAUGGAAACUGAGCUAUGAGAGAC
This 2108-nucleotide long non-coding RNA is filed under the name Homo sapiens (human). RNAcentral's name for it is "HSALNT0230328". The record is from RNAcentral. Lineage: Eukaryota; Metazoa; Chordata; Mammalia; Primates; Hominidae.